Molecule: ribosomal RNA, 484 nt
Filed under: Notoperla sp. BYU_PL146
Lineage: Eukaryota; Metazoa; Arthropoda; Insecta; Plecoptera; Gripopterygidae
Description: partial 16S ribosomal RNA
Rfam family: Archaeal large subunit ribosomal RNA
Source: RNAcentral
GCUGAAAUUAGAGGUCUGACCUGCCCACUGAAGAUAAAUUUAAAGGGCCGCGGUAUUUUGACCGUGCAAAGGUAGCAUAAUCAUUAGUCUUUUAAUUGGAGGCUAGAAUGAAUGGUUGGACGAGGUAUUGACUGUCUCAGUAUAAAUGAGUUUAGAAUUUAACUUUUGAGUGAAAAGGCUCAAAUUUUUUUAGAGGACGAGAAGACCCCAUAGAGCUUUAUAAUAAGUUUUUUUUAAAUUGUUUAGUGGUAUUUUUUUUUAUAUUAAACUAAUUAUUUUGUUGGGGUGACAGGAAGAUAUAAUAAACUCUUUUUAUUAGGAAACAUUGAUUUAUGAAUUGUUGAUCCAUUUUUAGUGAUUAUAAGUCUAAGUUACCUUGGGGAUAACAGCGUAAUCUUUUUCGAGAGUUCUUAUCGACAAAAAGGGUUGCGACCUCGAUGUUGGAUUAAGGGUAAUUUUGGGUGUAGAUGUUCAAAGUUAGUCG